RNAcentral lists this ribosomal RNA (690 nucleotides) under Thanatephorus cucumeris. RNAcentral's name for it is "eukaryotic LSU rRNA". The stretch from base 240 to 393 matches the Rfam family "5.8S ribosomal RNA". The record is from RNAcentral. Lineage: Eukaryota; Fungi; Basidiomycota; Agaricomycetes; Cantharellales; Ceratobasidiaceae.
UCCGUAGGUGAACCUGCGGAAGGAUCAUUAUUGAUUUUUCUAAUGAGGAGUUGAGUUGUUGCUGGCCUCUGGGGAUUAGUUUCUCCAAGGCAUGUGCACACCUUCUCUUUCAUCCACACACCCCUGUGCACUUGUGAGACAGUAAGGUUUCUUUUUUUGGGGGGCCUUGCUGUCUACUUAAUCUACACACACUCUAUUUAUUUUAAAACGAAUGUAAUUGAUGUAACGCAUCUAAUACUAAGUUUCAACAACGGAUCUCUUGGCUCUCGCAUCGAUGAAGAACGCAGCGAAAUGCGAUAAGUAAUGUGAAUUGCAGAAUUCAGUGAAUCAUCGAAUCUUUGAACGCACCUUGCGCUCCUUGGUAUUCCUUGGAGCAUGCCUGUUUGAGUAUCAUGAAAUCUUCAAAGUAAACCUUUUUUGUUAAUUCAAUUUAGGUCUCUUACUUUGGUCUUGGAGGUUAUUGCAGCUUCACACCUGCUCCUCUUUGUGCAUUAGCUGGAUCUCAGUGUUAUGCUUGGUUCCACUCAGCGUGAUAAGUUAUCUAUCGCUGAGGACACUGGUAAAAAGGUGGCCAAGGUAAACGCAGAUGAACCGCUUCCAAUAGUCCAUUGACUUGGACAAUUAUUUAUGAUCUGAUCUCAAAUCAGGUAGGACUACCCGCUGAACUUAAGCAUAUCAAUAAGCGGAGGA